Vicugna pacos (alpaca) is the source of this 458-nucleotide non-coding RNA. Lineage: Eukaryota; Metazoa; Chordata; Mammalia; Artiodactyla; Camelidae. The record is from RefSeq and is a predicted model, not a curated record.
GUGCUGCCCUGGAUACAGCGUAGCCGCAGCGUCUCUGCACACGACCCCCACCCCCACGCCACCUGGAAUCGCGGGGUCACGUGCAGCGCUUGCGCACACGGCCACGCUGAGCUAAAGUGGCGGCCGCUGCGUUUGGCACUAGGAGGUCUGGUCUGAAGGGCCCAGUGCGAGGCCCCUGCUUGCGGCCCCCUGUGAGAAGUCACAGUAAGCGAAACACAAAGGAAAAGAAACAGUCCAGGAUAUGUGGAUUGCAGCCCGGAGUACCAGUCGGCUGGAGUGAUGGCAGGUCUUCAUACUAAACCCAGGCAGAGGACCCUGAGAGUGAAAGAACAAGUGCUUGCUUUUAACCAGAGGAAGUGAUCAAAGCAUAUGAUCUGGAUAAUAUGACCACAAAAGCCCAGGGGAAACCAAGGGGAAGCAAUUGGCAAGCCAAGUGAUGGGUUCUUGCAAAUUUGGUG